GGGCCAGAACAUUGUCCCGCGGACCUUACGCGCCCGGACGCCGGCCGAGAUCUCAAGCAAAAGCCCCAUCGCAGUAGCCGUGCCUACGGUCCCAUUGACCCCACGGCGAUGGACCUGAAUUUGCAUGAAGUCCAGUGCCAACUUGAAACGUACACAGAUGCGAAUAAUCUCCGAACACCUGAGGUUUGAAAUCCCAGAGCAAGGCGCCUUUGAUACUCCCAGUGCCUGAGGUCGGCCCCCACGCCCUGUUGUGACACACAUGCCUAAGCACUACGCCUGCAACACGCUCACACUCAGGUUUUACAUACGGGCUUCUGAAGACGGUAUCUCAACUGAAAGACCAUGUGACUCUAAUUUGAGAAUUCAAACCACUUUCUGGUCAGUGGGGGAAAUAUGUGGGGAUGAAUAAGGUGUCACACAUCCCUCAAACCCUAUCAUGCAUGCCCUGCCUUCUGUCGUUAUGGAUGGAUCAGAACAUCAUCUUAUGAUAAGUUAUCAUUCCUUUGGAUGGUUUUAAAGAGAACUUAAUCUGUGGCUAAAAAUGGAGAGAUUCUAGAAUAAAAUUUUCUCAGAACUGCCGGAAAUUUCCUAAGCUGGUCUGUCUCCCAUGCCCCAUCCCUGACUCCGGGCUGGGGACGGCAUGCCCAAAGAGUUAUAACUUGAAAUCACUGAAUGAUCGUCAUCAAAGCCCAAAGACUUUCUGGGACCAAUGUAAGCUUGUUCCGAAUGUUUGAGGCCCGGAUGUUGAUCCUAACCAGUUGAACUCUUUUUAAAGGCUUGCUGACCUUGGCUGAGAGAUUCUGGCACAGGUGCUGGAACUAGAGGUCUGCUUCUAAUGGCAUGCUUGUUCCUUUGCCACCUAAUGGGCCACCGGUCUAUCUUCUCCAGGAUAAGAGCUGGAUCUUAUUCACCGUGGUGUCCUCAGCAUUUGGCACACAAUGCAUAGCACACACUAGGUGCUCAAUAAGAAUUGAUUACAUGGAGUCAACUGAUUAUCAGGGAUUGAUGGCCUUGGAAACUUAGUCCUGAUCCCCCUUACCUCUCUGUUCAGUUACAAGGUGAGAAUGGAUGGGGGCACAGAAUACAACCAGCUGAUUAUUGCUCAGCAGCUCAGCCACAUUCAGCCAACACGCUUGGUUCUUCAAAGACUCCAUGUCAUGGUUUCAGGUGCCCUCCAGCUUUCAGAGGAGAAACAGCUACUCCCUGACUUCUGUGAACCUUUUCCUUCCUCCCAUCCUCUUUCUUUUCGUUUGUGUUUGUUUCUACCAAGCACAAGCAGUAUCAACUUUGCCUCUUAGUUUUUAUGUUUUUUUGAACUCCUGCGUUCUCCAAACGGCAGCUCUAUUGAACAUCUCCUUUCAGUCAUUUAUGAUCUAAAAUGCCUGCCAUUUGCAGUCAUGUCAUCACACAGAAAGUGAAUAAACAAGAAUUGUGUUUGUUUCCUUGCUCUGUCCCUUUUUAAAUAUCUUGGGACUGACCCUAAGUGGGUCAGUUACAUGAGAAGGGGGCUUAGGAUUGGUCAUUAAAACUAUAUUUGGAGCAUAGACUGAUAGCUACACAUCAGUUUCACCAAUAUGAUGCUGAUUCUGCAAGUUCAUGUGACAGAGAUUUAUUAAUUGCCCAACUGUCCUGGACAGGACAGGAAGGUCAAGUUGUUUGUGACAGGAGUUUACUAUCCCUGUGGCAUAACUAGAGUCUAUUCCAGGCAAUAAUCUACCGUGUAAGCAUCUGCAAUGAAAUUGGAGAUGACCGUUGGUCAAAAAAAAAAACAAUAGCCCCGUUAGAAUCUCCUAGGCUCUCUCUCAUCUUUCUUCUUUUCUCUGGUCUCUCCACUCUUCUUUUCUCAUCUCCCUCUCUUUCUUCCAAGCUGUUUUCUUGGAUUGGUUUAUGCUCCCUGAAGUCCUUGUCUCUAUUCUAGGGCUGCCCGGGAUCCAUCUUUUCCCAAGAGCCCCCUGUGCCUCCUCGAGGCUCCCUGUCUUGUCUUGCGAUAUCCUCAGUGAGAUUAGCCCACCAGGUGCUCUCUUGUUUCUUGUGCCAAAAUUUGUCUAGUGUAUUCUGUAACACACACACUGCAUUCCACUACAUACUGUCCAUGUGCAAGCAAAUGGAAUAGAGAAGGAUAGAUCAUGUGGGAUGAUAAAACAAAAUAGAAAUAUAAGUCAUGGCAAAUCAGUAUUGAAAUGCAAUAAUGAAGUACAGCAAAGGACAAGUGAAC
Molecule: non-coding RNA, 2215 nt
Organism: Puma concolor (puma)
Lineage: Eukaryota; Metazoa; Chordata; Mammalia; Carnivora; Felidae
Source: RefSeq, a predicted model, not a curated record